GCCAGCAUGGUGUAGUGGUUUGAGCAUUAAACUAUGACUCUGGAGACCAGGGUUCAAAUCCCUGCUUGGCC
RNAcentral lists this transfer RNA (71 nucleotides) under Phrynosoma platyrhinos (Desert horned lizard). RNAcentral's name for it is "tRNA-OTHER". The record is from RNAcentral. Lineage: Eukaryota; Metazoa; Chordata; Lepidosauria; Squamata; Phrynosomatidae.